This 257-nucleotide ribosomal RNA is filed under the name uncultured bacterium. Its description in RNAcentral is "partial 16S ribosomal RNA". It matches the Rfam family "Bacterial small subunit ribosomal RNA", at positions 793 to 1055 of the family's 1533-position model. The record is from RNAcentral.
GUCCACGCCGUAAACGAUGAAUACUAGGUGUCGGUGGCAAAGCCAUUCGGUGCCGUCGCAAACGCAGUAAGUAUUCCACCUGGGAGUACGUUCGCAAGAAUGAACUCAAGGAAUUGACGGGACCCGCACAAGCGGUGGAGCAUGUGGUUAAUUCGAAGCAACGCGAAGAACCUUACCAAGUCUUGACAUCCGCCUGACCGAUCCUUAACCGGAUCUUUCCUUCGGGACAGGCGAGACAGGUGGUGCAUGGUUGUCGU